Molecule: ribosomal RNA, 517 nt
Filed under: uncultured bacterium
Lineage: Bacteria
Description: bacterial SSU rRNA
Rfam family: Bacterial small subunit ribosomal RNA
Source: RNAcentral
GUUUGAUCAUGGCUCAGAUUGAACGCUGGCGGUAUGCUUAACACAUGCAAGUCGAACGGUAGCAGGCCUUCGGGCGCUGACGAGUGGCGGACGGGUGAGUAACGCGUAGGAAUCUGCCUCAUAGUGGGGGACAACGUGGGGAAACUCACGCUAAUACCGCAUACGCCCUACGGGGAAAGCGGGGGAUCUUCGGACCUCGCGCUAUGAGAUGAGCCUGCGUUAGAUUAGCUAGUUGGUAGGGUAAAGGCCUACCAAGGCGACGAUCUAUAGCUGGUCUGAGAGGACGAUCAGCCACACUGGGACUGAGACACGGCCCAGACUCCUACGGGAGGCAGCAGUGGGGAAUAUUGGACAAUGGGCGCAAGCCUGAUCCAGCAAUACCGCGUGUGUGAAGAAGGCCUUAGGGUUGUAAAGCACUUUCAAUUGGGAGGAAAACCUGUCGGUCAAUACCCGGCAGCUUGACAUACCUUUAGAAGAAGCACCGGCUAACUCCGUGCCAGCAGCCGCGGUAAUACGG